Long non-coding RNA from Heteronotia binoei (common prickly gecko), 217 nucleotides. RefSeq lists it as uncharacterized. The record is from RefSeq and is a predicted model, not a curated record. The transcript is spliced from 3 exons. Lineage: Eukaryota; Metazoa; Chordata; Lepidosauria; Squamata; Gekkonidae.
UUCCAAGGUUCUUCAGGUAACAGGACCGCUCUGCCCAGAACUGGGAAAAGAGGAAAAUGGGACGGAGGUUUCCCUUCAGCCUCACCUUUCGUGGCUUCCUUGUUGUCUGCCUGUACCUCAAAGAAGCUGUACCCUGCAAGACAGGCUGGACGUACUAUAAAGGUCACUGCUACGGCCUCUUCAACAACAAGCUGAAUUGGGCAGAGGCAGAGGUGAG